UACGUAGGGGGCAAGCGUUGUCCGGAAUCAUUGGGCGUAAAGAGCGUGUAGGCGGUCCGAUAAGUCCGCUCUGAAAGCCCGGGGCUCAACCCCGGGAGGCGGGCGGAUACUGUCGGGCUAGAGUCCGGAAGAGGCAAGUGGACUUCCUGGUGUAGCGGUGAAAUGCGCAGAUAUCGGCAGGAACACCCAGGGGGAAACCAGUCGACUGGGCAGCACCUGACGCUGAGGUGCGAGAGCGUGGGGAGCGAACCGG
RNAcentral lists this ribosomal RNA (253 nucleotides) under uncultured bacterium. RNAcentral's name for it is "partial 16S ribosomal RNA". It matches the Rfam family "Bacterial small subunit ribosomal RNA", at positions 524 to 776 of the family's 1533-position model. The record is from RNAcentral.